UCCGGUUUGACACCGGCAGUCCCCCCAGAGUCCCGUUGCUGGCAACUGAGGGUAAGGGUUUCGCUCGUUAUGGGACUUAACCCGACAUCUCACGACACGAGCUGACGACAGCCAUGCAGCACCUGUGCUCGCCUCCGGACUGGAUACCGUUGGCCCCACGUUUCCGCGAGCUACUUGCGAGCGCUUUCGCACAUGUCAAGCCUAGGAUAAGGUUCUUCGCGUAGCCUCGAAUUAAGCCACAUGCUCCACCGCUUGUGUGAGCCCCCGUCAAUUCCUUUGAGUUUCAGCCUUGCGGCCAUACUCCCCAGGCGGGGGACUUAGCACUUUAGCUCCGGCAGUCAGCCCAUGCCGGCCGACUACCUAGUCCCCAUCGUUUAGGGCCAGGACUA
RNAcentral lists this unclassified non-coding RNA (389 nucleotides) under uncultured Planctomycetia bacterium. RNAcentral's name for it is "contains 16S-23S intergenic spacer region". The record is from RNAcentral. Lineage: Bacteria; Pseudomonadati; Planctomycetota; Planctomycetia.